GCUCUGGUGGCUCACUGGUUAAAGCGCUUGACUGCUAACCAAAAGGUCAGUGGUUCAAAACCACCAGCAGCU
Molecule: transfer RNA, 72 nt
Filed under: Loxodonta africana (African savanna elephant)
Lineage: Eukaryota; Metazoa; Chordata; Mammalia; Proboscidea; Elephantidae
Rfam family: tRNA
About the family: Transfer RNA (tRNA) molecules are approximately 80 nucleotides in length. Their secondary structure includes four short double-helical elements and three loops (D, anti-codon, and T loops). Further hydrogen bonds mediate the characteristic L-shaped molecular structure. tRNAs have two regions of fundamental functional importance: the anti-codon, which is responsible for specific mRNA codon recognition, and the 3' end, to which the tRNAs corresponding amino acid is attached (by aminoacyl-tRNA synthetases). tRNAs cope with the degeneracy of the genetic code in two manners: having more than one tRNA (with a specific anti-codon) for a particular amino acid; and 'wobble' base-pairing, i.e. permitting non-standard base-pairing at the 3rd anti-codon position.
Source: Rfam by way of RNAcentral